AUACGUAGGGUGCAAGCGUUAAUCGGAAUUACUGGGCGUAAAGCGUGCGCAGGCGGUUUUGUAAGACAGAGGUGAAAUCCCCGGGCUCAACCUGGGAACUGCCUUUGUGACUGCAAGGCUAGAGGAAGGCAGAGGGGGAUGGAAUUUCGCCGGUAGCAGUGAAAUGCGUAGAUAUGCGGAGGAACACCGAUGGCGAAGGCAAUCCCCUGGGCCUGUACUGACGCUCAUGCACGAAAGCGUGGGGAGCAAACAGGAUUAGAUACCCUGGUAGUCCACGCCCUAAACGAUGUCAACUGGUUGUUGGGUCUUCAUUGACUCAGUAACGAAGCUAACGCGUGAAGUUGACCGCCUGGGGAGUACGGCCGCAAGGUUGAAACUCAAAUGAAUUGACGGGG
Molecule: ribosomal RNA, 395 nt
Filed under: uncultured bacterium
Lineage: Bacteria
Description: partial 16S ribosomal RNA
Rfam family: Bacterial small subunit ribosomal RNA
Source: RNAcentral